Molecule: long non-coding RNA, 1582 nt
Filed under: Carica papaya (papaya)
Lineage: Eukaryota; Viridiplantae; Streptophyta; Magnoliopsida; Brassicales; Caricaceae
Description: long non-coding RNA (CPAP_LNC006771)
Source: RNAcentral
AGAAGCUGCAACUUCCUUCAUCCUUCGCAGGCUACACUCUCAUCUCCAUCUUUCCUUCAUCAUCGGACCUCGUCUUACUUCAUUUCCCUUCUUCAUCUUAUGGUUCCUCAUACUUCAUUUUCCUUAUUCACCCCACGCCUCUUCUUGCUCUAUUUCCCUUCUUUAUCGCUGUGCCUCCUUCUUAUCAGUCAUCUAUCUCUAAGUUACUCUUUCAUUUCUUGCUUCCAUCUCCUUUCUUGGCCUCUAGGUUAUGGACGCACCUUUUCCUCCUUAAAGCAAAUAAGGAACAUUUGUUGAUUGUCACUUACUAGAUUUCACUCUAAUAUUUGCCAAUUUGAACCACUAUUCAAAACAUUAUCUCAACUCCUUCUUUCUCCCUUAUAAUCAUAGGCUCGAAUACUCGACCAUUUCGUUUGUUAAGCUCAUGAAGUCUAGAACUUGUUAGUUGAGAUUUAUUAGGUAAAAUCCCUCUUCUUCCAUUGCUUCAUUUAUGGGUUAGUUUUAUUUUCAUAUGUAUAAAGUUUUAUUUUCAUAUGUAUAUUCUGGAGCUUGAGGAACGAGAUAAAGAUGAGAAAUAAGGAAUCGAAGAGAGAGAUUGAGAAUAGAGUGUGUGUGUGUGUGAGAGAGAGAGAGAAGCUAGAUAAAGAGGAGACGUCCCAAGAAAGAUAUAAAGAAGAUAAAUAAAAAGGGCUUAGAAAUGCAAGAGAUAUUGCAGGAUAUAGGGGAGACAGAGAGGAGUAAAGAAGAAGAAGAUAAGGAGAGGAAUAAAGAAACACAUAUGGAGGAGAAUAAGGUGCUAUAUAUUUAUCAUAUUUUUUAUGCUCUUAUUACUUAUUUUUGUAAGAAAUUUGAAUGAAUUUUGAGUUAAAAAAUCAAUUUAUAAGCAAACUUUUGAUGCAUGUUACAUUGAUGAAGAAAAGAGGAGAAAAAAGUCUGAAGAGAAAAGAAGAGAUGAGGUAGAAGUCCAGGCCCAAAUCUGCAGUUAAACCUAACCCAUCAACACUCAAAACGAUGUUGUUUUGAAGCUGAGAAACAGAAGCCAAAAUGGCACCAUUUUGAAGAAAGAAAAAAAAUAUCAGGAUAAAACAGGCAUGUACGCCUCUGGAAGCCCGAAAGACACCAGAAAAGAAGAAGAAGAGACCCGCACGGGAUCGACCGAAGGAGGAAGAAGAGGCGUGCGAAACUUCACCUUCUUCUGCCUACAAAUGAGAACCAAGAGCAGAUCUGGAAAGGACAGAUAGGUUAAGAGCCAAAGCGCGAGUAGAAGGCAAAGCUUGGUAGAGGGCUUAAGCAAAAGCAGAGCAAAAAACAGAAUAUGAAGCAGAGUAGAGCGGGGCGCAGAAGGCAGAAGAGAGCAAAAUCAUAAGAGAACUCGGAGCGUAGAGGAAAAUAAGGCGAGUUUUAAGGAAGCUAGUGGAAGUAAAAGUUGAGAAUAAUAAAAGUGAAGCGGUAAGCUGAGUGGAGAAUCAGAUUCGAAGCAGAAGCAUGAUUACAAAUCUUAAGCAGGAAAGUAAGGGAGUUUGGUGAGAGAGAAGCAUAGAAAAGUAAUUACGUAAUGUAAUAUAUUUUUUUAGCUUNNNNN